RNAcentral lists this ribosomal RNA (700 nucleotides) under uncultured bacterium. RNAcentral's name for it is "bacterial SSU rRNA". It matches the Rfam family "Bacterial small subunit ribosomal RNA", at positions 94 to 828 of the family's 1533-position model. The record is from RNAcentral.
AGUGGCGGACGGGUGAGUAACGCGUAAGAAUCUAACUUCAGGACGGGGACAACAGUUGGAAACGACUGCUAAUACCCGAUAUGCCGCGAGGUGAAACCUAAUUGGCCUGAAGAAGAGCUUGCGUCUGAUUAGCUAGUUGGUGGGGUAAGAGCCUACCAAGGCGACGAUCAGUAGCUGGUCUGAGAGGAUGAGCAGCCACACUGGGACUGAGACACGGCCCAGACUCCUACGGGAGGCAGCAGUGGGGAAUUUUCCGCAAUGGGCGAAAGCCUGACGGAGCAACGCCGCGUGAGGGAGGAAGGUCUUUGGAUUGUAAACCUCUUUUCUCAAGGAAGAAGUUCUGACGGUACUUGAGGAAUCAGCCUCGGCUAACUCCGUGCCAGCAGCCGCGGUAAUACGGGGGAGGCAAGCGUUAUCCGGAAUUAUUGGGCGUAAAGCGUCCGCAGGUGGUCAGCCAAGUCUGCCGUCAAAUCAGGUUGCUUAACGACCUAAAGGCGGUGGAAACUGGCAGACUAGAGAGCAGUAGGGGUAGCAGGAAUUCCCAGUGUAGCGGUGAAAUGCGUAGAGAUUGGGAAGAACAUCGGUGGCGAAAGCGUGCUACUGGGCUGUAUCUGACACUCAGGGACGAAAGCUAGGGGAGCGAAAGGGAUUAGAUACCCCUGUAGUCCUAGCCGUAAACGAUGGAUACUAGGCGUGGCUU